GACGAACGCUGGCGGCGUGCUUAACACAUGCAAGUCGAACGAAGAGCGAUGGAAGUUUGCUUCUAUCAAUCUUAGUGGCGAACGGGUGAGUAACGCGUAAUCAACCCGCCCUUCAGAGGGGGACAACAGUUGGAAACGACUGCUAAUACCGCAUAUGAUUUAAUCUCGGCAUCGAGGAUAGAUGAACGGUGGUCUCUACAUGUAUGCUAUCAUUGAAGCAGGGGAUUGCGUCUGAUUAGCUAGUUGGAGGGGUAACGGCCCACCAAGGCGAUGAUCAGUAGCCGGUCUGAGAGGAUGAACGGCCACAUUGGGACUGAGACACGGCACAGACUCCUACGGGAGGGAGCAGUGGGGAAUCUUCCGCAAUGGACGAAAGUCUGACGGAGCAACGCCGCGUGAGUGAUGACGGCCGUCGGGUUGUAAAGCUCUGUUAAUCGGGACGAAAGGCCUUCUUGCGAAUAGUGAGAAGGAUUGACGGUACCGGAAUAGAAAGCCACGGCUAACUACGUG
RNAcentral lists this ribosomal RNA (510 nucleotides) under uncultured bacterium. RNAcentral's name for it is "partial 16S ribosomal RNA". It matches the Rfam family "Bacterial small subunit ribosomal RNA", at positions 28 to 507 of the family's 1533-position model. The record is from RNAcentral.